This 690-nucleotide long non-coding RNA is filed under the name Triticum aestivum (bread wheat). RNAcentral's name for it is "long non-coding RNA (TAES_LNC021227)". The record is from RNAcentral. Lineage: Eukaryota; Viridiplantae; Streptophyta; Magnoliopsida; Poales; Poaceae.
UAGGGUUUGUAAGAAUAAAGGAUGUGGUAAAACCUACAAGGAGAAGGAUAACCAUGAUGCUGCAUGUGAAUACCAUCCAGGUCCUGCGGUUUUCCAUGACAGGAAUAGAGGGGUACGUAUUUUCUCUCUAAUUAAAUUUGUGUUCAUUUAUGUUCACCCUGAUUCUUACCUCCAUGUAUUUUCUCUUUGCAGUGGAAGUGUUGCGAUAUCCACGUCAAGGAGUUUGACGAAUUUAUGGAGAUACCUCCGUGCACAAAGGGGUGGCACAAUGCCGAUGCUGUGUGAGUUCACACCAUGACUCUUGCAUUAAGAGUUAUUUGUUGUAGUAUCUCCUCGUGCAUAAGGUUGGCAUCUUGCCGCAAUUUCUGGAGAACUGUGCUUGGAAGUGUGACCUGAUAUUCAAGAAUGGGCCUGCUUGAGUGUGCUCUGAUUAACUACCGUCGAAAUCUCAUGUGAUGUUUCAUGUAAUCUGGAAUCGGAACUUGAAACCAUAUGUGGACAUUUAGUAAUUUAACUACGCCAUGUUGAAGUUAAAUGUGCUGCUGCUUGAGUGAGCUCUGAGGAAUUUCCUCGAAAAUCUAAAUCUCAUGUGAUGUUUCACAUAAUCUGGAUUUGGUACUUGAAACCAUAUGUGGACGCUCAAUUUAGUAGUUGAACUAUGCCAUUUUGAAGUUAAAUGUGCUGCUGCUA